CCCACCAAAUCCCUCCGUCGUUCUUCUCUCGGAGCUCUACUCUACUCUCGUCGCUGGCAAACCUCCUCUUCUUCCCUAUUCUCUCCUUUUUUUGAUCUUCAUUCUUCUUCUCGUUGGAAAUCCACCGUGAGAAAUCCAAAUUCAUGUUCGUCCGUGUCCUCUCUUUAUGAUGAGAUUAUGAGAGUAUGCAAAACAAAGAUUUAAGCAAUGUUCUAAGAAGAAAUGUUAGUUGGCACCGAAAAGGAUAGUUAAGCCUUCAAUUCAUGUCAACGAACCGUAUACGGAAGAAAAGAUGAAGAUGGAGAUCGAAGGAGAAGAAGAAGGUCUCUUGGUGGUUUUAGAUAUAUUGUAUGGUUUUUGAUACCACUGUGUUGGUGUUUUGGCUUUAGGUACAAAUGUUCGGAUUGUGUUUUGGUUUCUAAGGUUAUGUAUGAAUCUAAGUGUUUAUGUACAACUGAUACGAACAUGUACAACUAUGUAUCUGGGUUUAUAAAUCUAAGUGUUUAGGUACAAUUGUUCUGAUGUGUUUUGGUUUCUAAGGUUAUGUAUGAAGCUAAUUGUUUAGGUACAACUGGUACGAUCAGGUACAACUAUGUUUCUGGGUUUAUGUUUUUUGGUUAAAAAACCUAUCUAAUUAUGUAUGUAUCUUUGAAUCUGAAUCUUAAUAUUUUUAUGUAUGAAUCUAUGUAUUGAAUAUAA
Molecule: long non-coding RNA, 699 nt
Organism: Arabidopsis lyrata subsp. lyrata
Lineage: Eukaryota; Viridiplantae; Streptophyta; Magnoliopsida; Brassicales; Brassicaceae
Exons: 2
Source: RefSeq, a predicted model, not a curated record